This 217-nucleotide small nucleolar RNA is filed under the name Mustela putorius furo (domestic ferret). Its description in RNAcentral is "Small nucleolar RNA U3 (ENSMPUG00000022919.1)". It matches the Rfam family "Small nucleolar RNA U3". From Rfam's summary of the family: Small nucleolar RNAs (snoRNAs) are involved in the processing and modification of rRNA in the nucleolus. There are two main classes of snoRNAs: the box C/D class, and the box H/ACA class. Lineage: Eukaryota; Metazoa; Chordata; Mammalia; Carnivora; Mustelidae. The record is from RNAcentral.
AAGACUAUACUUUCAGGGAUCAUUUCUAUAGUUUGUUACUAGAGAAGUUUCUCUGAACGUGUAGAGUACCCAGAACCACGAGGAGGAGACGUAGUACCCUUUUCUGAGCGUGAAGCUGACUCUGGGCGUUGUUUUGCUUGCAACUGCUCUUUGUCAUUGAUGAUCGUUCUGCCUUUCUAUUUAGAAAGGUAAGAGGGAAAGGGUGCCGUCUGAGUGG